AUCGGUGACAGGUGGUGCAUGGUUGUCGUCAGCUCGUGUCGUGAGAUGUUGGGUUAAGUCCCGCAACGAGCGCAACCCCUAUUGUUAGUUGCCAUCAUUGAGUUGGGCACUCUAAAGAGACUGCCGGUGUCAAACCGGAGGAAGGUGGGGAUGACGUCAAGUCCUCAUGGCCUUUAUGACCAGGGCUACACACGUACUACAAUGGCCGGUACAAAGGGCAGCGACACAGCGAUGUGAAGCGAAUCCCGAAAAGCCGGUCUCAGUCCGGAUUGGAGUCUGCAACUCGACUCCAUGAAGUUGGAAUCGCUAGUAAUCGCGGAUCAGCACGCCGCGGUCGAAUACGUUCCCGGGCCUU
This 355-nucleotide ribosomal RNA is filed under the name uncultured Desulfocapsa sp. Its description in RNAcentral is "bacterial SSU rRNA". It matches the Rfam family "Bacterial small subunit ribosomal RNA", at positions 1027 to 1382 of the family's 1533-position model. Lineage: Bacteria; Pseudomonadati; Thermodesulfobacteriota; Desulfobulbia; Desulfobulbales; Desulfocapsaceae. The record is from RNAcentral.